AAAUGAAUUGACGGGCACCCGCACAAGCGGUGGAGCAUGCUGUUUAAUUCGAAGAUACGCGAAAAACCUUACCUAGAUUUGACAUCCCGGGCAAUGCUAUGGAAACAUAUGCGGAGGCUACCCCGGUGACAGAUGGUGCAUGGUUGUCGUCAGCUCGUGUCGUGAGAUGUUUGGUUAAGUCCAAUAACGAGCGCAACCCUCGUCUUUAGUUGCUAACAUUUAGUUGAGAACUCUAAAGAUACUGCCAGUGUAAGCUGGAGGAAGGUGAGGAUGACGUCAAAUCAUCAUGCCUCUUACAUCUAGGGCUACAGGCGUGCUACAAUGGCCGGUACAACGAGUCGCUACAUGGUAACAUGAUGCUAAUCUCUUAAAGCCGGUCUCAGUCCGGAUUGUUCUCUGCAACUCGAGAACAUGAAGUUGGAAUCGCUAGUAAUCCCGAAUCAGAAUGUCGGGGUGAAUACGUUCCCGGGUGUUGUACACACCGCCCGU
RNAcentral lists this ribosomal RNA (489 nucleotides) under uncultured bacterium. RNAcentral's name for it is "bacterial SSU rRNA". It matches the Rfam family "Bacterial small subunit ribosomal RNA", at positions 903 to 1397 of the family's 1533-position model. The record is from RNAcentral.